Molecule: ribosomal RNA, 443 nt
Filed under: Aituaria eriashvilii
Lineage: Eukaryota; Metazoa; Arthropoda; Arachnida; Araneae; Nesticidae
Description: partial large subunit ribosomal RNA
Rfam family: Bacterial large subunit ribosomal RNA
Source: RNAcentral
UUUUAAUGAAACUAAAAUUAAAUAAGGCCUGCUCCAUGAAUUUAAUAGCCGCAGAAAAUUUACUGUGCUAAGGUAGCAUAAUCACUUGUCCCUUAAUUAGAGACUAGAAUGAAAGGCUAAACAAUUAAUUCAUUUUUUUAGAAAUUUAUAAUAAACCUAUAAUAAGUAUAAAAAUAUACUUAUAAAUAUAAAAGACGACAAGACCCUAUCGAACUUAACUUAAGUUAAGCUGGGGAAGCUACUUAAUAAUUAAUUUAUUCAUAUAAACUAUAUUAAAAUCCAAUAAACUUGAAUUAUAAUCAAGUUACCGUAGGGAUAACAGCGCAAUAUUUCUUAAAAGCACAUAUAAAAAGAAAAGUUUGCGACCUCGAUGUUGAAUUAUUUUUCUCUCAUUAGCGCAAGAGCUAAAACGAGUAGGUCUGUUCGACCUUAAAAAAAUUACA